Molecule: ribosomal RNA, 774 nt
Filed under: uncultured Neocallimastigales
Lineage: Eukaryota; Fungi; Neocallimastigomycota; Neocallimastigomycetes; Neocallimastigales
Description: partial large subunit ribosomal RNA
Rfam family: Eukaryotic large subunit ribosomal RNA
Source: RNAcentral
UCAGACGAUGCGUCAUGCAUAUCAAUAAGCGGAGGAAAAGAAACUAACAAGGAUUCCCCUAGUAACGGCGAGUGAAGCGGGAAGAGCUCAAAUUUGAAAUCUUAAAGGGUUUCCCUUUACGAAUUGUAGUUUAAAGAAGUGUUUUCUGUUGAGGUUUUGGUAAAAGUUCUCUGGAAUAGGACAUCAUAGAGGGUGAGAAUCCCGUAUUUGACCUUUACUUUCAACUUUGUGAUACACUUUCAAAGAGUCGGAUUGUUUGGGAAUGCAGUCCAAAAUGGGUGGUAAAUUUCAUCUAAAGCUAAAUAUUGGCGAGAGACCGAUAGCGAACAAGUACCGUGAGGGAAAGAUGAAAAGAACUUUGAAAAGAGAGUUAAACAGUACGUGAAAUUGUCAAAAGGGAAGCGUUUGACACCAGUGUUGUUUUUCUGAAAAUCAAUUAAAGAACUGUUUAUGCUAAGUUGUUUAGACUUUAUCAGCUAACUGUUUAGUUUUGAGCUUUUCUUUAAUGCACUUUUCAGUUAACAAGUCAACAUCAAUUUCUUUUGCUGUAAAAAAGCUUGAGGAAGGUGGCUUGAGAUUCGUCUUAAGUGUUUAUAGCCUCUUGCCUAUGCAGUCGGAGAGAUUGAGGUCUGCAGCGUAGAUCCUUCGGGGCUAAAUGCAUUUGUGCUAAGUUAUAGCAUUUUAUAGACAACUUGUUGACUAUGAUUUGUCUUGUAGCUUACUCGCUUAUGUUAUUUUACCUACGCUUAGGAUGUUGAGCGCAUGUCUCUCUCU